GAUUCCAUAGAGUAACAGCAGCCGACCACCCUGAGAGUGGAGGGAGAAGCCAGGGGUUGUCGAGAAUGAGCCCCGAGGGUAAGGUCGAUUCGCAUUCCUCCGUCUUUUCGAUCUUUGGUAUCCUAUGGAGAUCGAUCCCUCGAUGGGUUUUCGGUGGGUAGGGUUUGGAAUCGCAGCUCGUCGGACUAGAAAUCCGACGAGGAAGAAGCCAUGGCCAUCACAGGUUCUUCAACUCGUCCCUCUCUCUGCUUGUGUGCCACGCGUAACUAGCUUUCGUGCUUGAUUCGGUCUGUUCAUAUGCGACGGAAUUGAGAAGGUCGAAAUUUGGAGUCGACGGGUUUAGGGUUUUUCAUGGAAAGUGUUUCUUGGUAGUAUUGAUCAUUGAUCGAAGGUAUGGAUCUUUGAAGUGCGAUAUGAUCGGAGCAAACGGGUUUCGUCAUGAUAUUGCUACAUCAUUCACUUAUGAUGAAAUUUGGACAGUUAGGGUCAUGAUAUGAUCUAUUUAGGGCUUCUGGUUUGCCUGAUUACUCUCAGGAGGGCUUUAUUGGACUUCUUAAACAAAUGGUGAAAAUUAUAAUUUCUGUAUAGUAGUUUUCUGUGAGAUCUGUGAUUCUAGCUAGAUCAGAAUAUGUUACAUUUUUCAUUGUAUAAUGUACUAAAUAUUAUGACAAUAUUAGUACCAUAGGAGCUCUACUUGAUGAUCUAAUCGACACGGGUCUUUUCGGAUUGAACUGGAUUUUUGAAUCAAUAUUUGUUGUGGUGGAUUGGAAACGUUCACUUGUUUGGAAAGCUUGGCGAAUUCUUAGAAUACUUAGUAUUCUAACUAUCUGAAUUGAUCAAACUGAGAACACUUAGGCGAUCAUAGGCCACUUCUAACUGUCUGAACUCCAUUCUGCAUGAACAGAUCCAACCAAGAUCUAUUCGAUUCAGCAUACAUGUUUAAUCUGACUUGCAUCCAAUCGGUUCAAGAGACACGCCAACAGAACAAGAGAAACAAUGGCUGGGAGGAGGAGAAGAACCUCGAUGGUAAAUCUCAACUGUUGGGACUUGUUCUUGUUCAUAUUCUUGAGUGUCGUUCUUGACUCUGCAUGAAGCCGCAUCUGGAAAUCUUUCCAAUAUGGUUGCACACAUAAGAUCUUGUAUUGAUGGAAGCCUCAUGCGCAUUCAUAUAUUAAAGAUGUUUAGAGUUGGAGUUCUUUUGCAUAUAUAUUUAAAGAGUUGGAGUUCCUUUAUAUAUGGAUGUAAACAUCUUUGGUGCUAUCUUUCUGAAGGCCAACUUGGCAGGUAGAUAUCAUUGUUCGAGCUAAAUGGUUUUUCUAAGCUAAUCAGUAUGGUUGGUUGCUUUGGUUUGGUUGUUUGAUUCCUCUUAAAAGUUUUUAUGCUUACUUAUUUGGAGAUAUGGUUGGUGCUGAAAGUGCUUCUACAUCCGACAUUAAGUGAACAACCUCAUAGUAAUUACUUCAAUAGCUAGGUUGAAGUUGUUGUAGCUUAAUAUUCUUUGUGAUCAUGGUACCUCAGAUUCAUUUUUGAUAUAUAGCUGCAAUCUCCUAUUUAACAGAAUAUUCCGCUCUAGAGCAAAAAAUAUAAUGACACUCCAGUUGGUUCAACACUAUUUUUACCUUCUACAACAAUGAUUUUGAAACCUGAGAAACUUUGUCACAGAUGUAUAUUGUGUUUUUGGUUUCUAUCUGAGUCAUGUCAUCUAUUAAUAUGCUUCAUGGGUAUGCUGGUGCUCGGUAGUCAUGUUAAAUUAUUGAUCACUGCUAGUCUAAAAACUUAAUUUACCAGCUUGUGAAAGCAACUAAGAGAGCAUCGUUAUCAUCUUUAUGGCACAAUCAGAUUUGAAAAAUCCUUGCCAAAAAUUAGAUUGUACAUUUGACCUGUUGCUUGGUUCAACUUGAUUAAUUACUAAAUUGAUAAGAACAGAUGUUCAACUUGCUCCAAUUCAAAGGGCAGAUAAAGGUAUAAUCUGCUGUGAGAAAGUGUUGGAAGAUACCAUUUGUCAUACCGGUCAAGCUUAUUACUAUAGCAUUUAUGAUUGACAUAUCUGAAUGACAAAAUGCAAUUUUAUUUCAUGUUAGGUUUUGGAACUCCAAUAUUCUUAGACUACAAUUCUUGUGAUCAAAUAAUCAGCUUUGAAGUCAUGCAUUAAUGACACUUGUAAUUUUCCAAUCUUGAUAUGCAAACUCUGCUAUCUACUUUAGCAAUCUUACGUUAUGGCUCGAUGGUUUCUAGUCUUCAAAUUGGAUACUCUACUGUGCAUUUACAUGACAUUUUCCUAACUUGGUUAGGAGUUUGCCUGUGUCAAUCUGUACUCAUGAAUUAGAUAUGAUAAAACAUGAUAUGAGUUGAUAUACAGAAAAAUCUGGGUAUCUUUUGGGUAGUCGAUCAUUUCUCUAAUGAUGCUUACAAAUAUAUUCUCUAAUGACCUGAUAGUGUAAUUAUUUCCUUCCAUAUGGCAAAUAAUAUUCCUCAAUCUAGUGUUUAUUGCACUUUUGCUAAUUAGCUUUUCAGUUUUUGUUGAUGGUGGAUUUCAAUGUCGAUAAAAAUUGAUACCUUGCUGCCAACCAAAGCAACAAGGAAAGCAUCUACUCAAGAAUUUGUAUGCGGAAAGUAUGCAAAUUAGGCUACUACGACAGCGAUAUUGCUGGCGAGAUGCACUUGAUGGGAUUGUCUCAACAUCAACAAUCUUAAAUUCAGAAAGAAUAGUUCCCAUCAAAAAACAGAGUACGUUUCUUCUUCUUCUUACUCUAAUUAGUCUGCUAAUGAUUUAUGCUUGAAGUCUCUAGUACCAAAGAUCCCAAUCCAUUCAUAUCAUCUCCUUGUAUGCAUAAUUGGUAGUAUAUUAUUGUGUACCAAAUGCAUCUCAGCUUAACUUGAGAAAUCAUUUCUUGUUUUUGUUUUAAUCGAGUAUUCUGCAUCAUCUAAAGGAGAAGAGCAAAUUUAGUUCAAAUUCAACAUUGCCUGCUUCUUGUCUGAAUAAAUGUCUCUGUAAGACUGGCUUGGGCACCACCGAUGGGACGAUCAAUUAGAACGUGUGGACUCUGUCGUGCCUCACUCCUUGAUAAGUCAAACCAGGAAUUUAUAGCAACUACCAAAAAGGGUUGUGUUAUGUCCCGACUUAACUCGUGAGGCAUCCAGAUUGCGCCCGUGAGUUAUGUCAGGACAUAACGAGUACAAGAAAUAAUGAGAUAUACUUGCGCAAGAAUUCCAUUUGUGCAUGAUUUGGCAGACAUAGAUUACGUCAAUCUCCACUUCAGGCCCACUAUGGAAUCUUCCAUGAGAAACAUUCCUCCCUGGCGGGUCAGCAGUGGUUUCAAAGGUUGACCACCACUGUGGACCGUUGACAAAAGUCA
RNAcentral lists this long non-coding RNA (3356 nucleotides) under Musa acuminata (dwarf banana). RNAcentral's name for it is "long non-coding RNA (MACU_LNC001051)". The record is from RNAcentral. Lineage: Eukaryota; Viridiplantae; Streptophyta; Magnoliopsida; Zingiberales; Musaceae.